Lontra canadensis (Northern American river otter) is the source of this 2001-nucleotide RNA transcript. It is a transcript of the gene named tubulin tyrosine ligase like 5, with no coding region annotated. The record is from RefSeq and is a predicted model, not a curated record. The transcript has 7 exons. Lineage: Eukaryota; Metazoa; Chordata; Mammalia; Carnivora; Mustelidae.
AGGAUGGAGUUCAGGACAGCCAUGCCUCUUGGUGAGUAAGCGGAGAACCCUGGCAUGAGGCAAGCAGAAAGGAGCCUUCAAACAGGUGGCUUUGCCUGGGAGGGAGAGGUAGAAAACAACGCGUAUAGCAAGGCUACAGGGGUGGUCCCGCAGCACAAGUACCACCCCACGGCGGGCAGCUACCAACUCCACUUUGCCCUGCAGCAGCUUGAACAACAGAAACUUCAGUCCCAGCAGCUUCUGGACCAGAGUCGAGCCCGGCACCAGGCCAUCUUUGGCAGUCACACACUCUCUAACUCCAAUUUAUGGACAAUAAAUAAUGGUGCAGCUUGCAGAAUUUCAAGUGCCACAGGUAGUGGCCAGAAGCCAACCCCUCUGCCCCAGAAAGUGGUGCCGCCUCCAAGUUCUUCCUCGUCGCUGACCCCCAAGCCCCCAGCCAAUCACAAACAAGUCCUCAGAAAGACCACAUCCCAGAGGGCCUCCAAGGGCUCCUCCAUGGAAGGGCAGCUGAACGGACUCCAGGGCAGCCUGAAUGCUGCGGCCUUUGCGCCCAUCACCGGCCCCACAGGAUCUUUGGAAGCUCCCCAAGUUAUUUUCGCCAGAUCCAAACCCUUGCCCACACAAUCUGGAGCUCUUGCUACAGUUAUAGGACAGAGAAAAUCAAAGUCGGUGAAGUCAGGGCCAAUUUAAGAUCCCGCUCACACUAAAAGAUGAACCGCGACUGCCCAGAAGAACCUAUUUGCCACUCCCGCACCUGCGGGGGCGUGACCGAGGCUGAAGCAUCCACCUGCGCUGCGAGGGGUCCACGCAGAUGGUGGGUCCAGGCUGUUCCCCACGAGCAGCUCCUGAACCUGGGAAGCUCGUAUGUGCACAUGUCUCCAUCAUCAGCCCGCAGUGGACAGGUCCUCUAGGGGUCCUCGUCAGAAUGAGGCGGCACAGCCCCCCCCCACCCCCGAUGCCUUUCCACUUGACCUCUGCUCCCUCUCCUCCCCUUUCCCUGGUCCCCUCUCUGGCUUCUACUGAAGAUAAAGUUUGAAGGGCCGACAGCUACCCUGGGGAGUUUCUGGGGGAGGAUCCAGAGUCUGGGUUUUUCUACAGCAAGGUACUCUAGACUGAGCAUUGAAACCCACAAGGAGAAUUGAUGCCCAACAAGGCAGAGAGAAAAGGGACUUUAUUGACCUCUCAGUGAGUGCAAACAGGUUUGAGCACAGGGAAGCAUUUUGUUUGCUUGUGAGGAAUGAAGACUGUCACUUGAGGGAGGGGAGAGAAUGUAUUCCUGAUGUGCCUGGGACUUCUGGUUAGUAGUCUGAGGACCAUCUGAACUGUUGGCCAACUUGGUUGUGAACUGGGUAGGAGACAAUUCCUUCCUGACUCCCCGGUGAUGUGUAGAACUGGGAUAUAAGGUACAUGGGAGACUCCAUGUAUGGAUCAUGUGAGAAAGGAUAAGAGGGCAUGAGGCCAGGACAAGAACUCGGAGACCAGCUAGACUGUGUGGAAUUGCCCUAGGUAGCCGUUAGAAUCGGGUCCUCAGGCUCAUUUCUUACUGCACACCCCAUGUGCUUAUCAGCUGUUAAGACCAGACUCCAGACUCUUUCAUUUAAGCAAGUACUUUUCGUGUCGUUUUUACUGGUACUGGACUUCUCUUGGUAAUAAACGAGACCAAUCAUAUGAUUCCACCCUCCAAAAAUGGUGUCAUUUCCAGUGUCCCUCCCUCCCCCUCCCCCGAAAUAAGUGUGUAUCUUUUCAGACAGACAGACAAUGGCUCAAGUUUCUGUAGUGCCUCUCAAUGACCCGUGGAAUGGAGAGGCUGAACUUCAGACCCCCGCCCAUAUUUGUAUCUGCUGAUAAAGAUAAGAAUAGAGCUCUCGUAUAAAAAGAACAUUUGGAAUCACAGUGUGUUCUGUUUUCUUUGGGAUACUUAGGGAAACAUAACUCAUUGCCUUGGUUCACUAGGAUGAGCCACAGGCCAACAUUCUAGUGACGUCCUGUGAGGUUGGAGAA